RNAcentral lists this unclassified non-coding RNA (2548 nucleotides) under Leishmania donovani. Its description in RNAcentral is "gene:LdHU3.27.1300(CDS-product:Protein_of_unknown _function_(DUF1295)_putative)". Lineage: Eukaryota; Euglenozoa; Kinetoplastea; Trypanosomatida; Trypanosomatidae. The record is from RNAcentral.
GCACGAAGAGACCACAUACACACAUAUACACAUCUACGGGCAAAAGGGAACACAGAUACACACACGAACCCCCCCAAAAAAAAAACGCAUUUUUCAAGUCGGUCAGCCAUCAAGGCCUUUUCCUUUUUUUGUCUCGGGUUGGUGUGACGUUUCAAGUCUGCCGGCCUCCCUCGUUCUGCCUUGCCCUCUGUCUCUUCUGAUCUGCUGCGCAUCCAUCGACCACUUCUUCGCCCAUCCCUUUUCCCCGCCACCACCAGUGCGGUUGUUUUGCGCUUUCAUUCUUGUCCUCUUUUCUCCUGGUCGCAUCUGGAGGUAGCACAGCACGAGGUAAACAUUUGUUGACGGUCGAAGUACACGCUCAGGGGCUGGCAUACCUUUAUACUCGGACAAGUGCACGCAGCAGCGGACAUACGAUCGUGCAUCCAUUCACGAACUCUCAUAUGUAAGUGCUCCGUCAUAGUGCGCAGUGGACAACAGCACGAUUGCCACCGGAACGUGAAUAGAUAUUUGUAUACCCUCAAGAGCAUGGAAUCUCUCUCCGGUGCCGCCGCAGCCGUUACGGCUACAUCCCUCGCCCUUUCCGGAACCUUGAUGACUUUGACAGCGCUUGUGCUGUUCAUCGCAGCGCACCGCAACGACAACUAUUCGUGGGUGGACCGGUCGUGGUCUAUUCUACCGGUGGUGUACACGUGGAUCCACGUAUACUACACGCACCAGCAGGCACGCGGGGCUGCGGUGAGGCGCGCUGCGGGGCAGUCGUUCCCGCUGAGCACCGCAACCCUCUUCGGCCUUGUCAUAACGGUGUGGGGGUGCCGCCUGACCUUCAACUUCUUCCGCCGCGGCGGCUACUCCCGUGGCGGCGAGGACUACCGGUGGAAUUACGUACACACGUGGCGCAUCUUCUCCCGCUCGCCUGUCGUCUGGACGCUCUUCAACUUCUUCGUCAUUUCCUUCUUUCAAACGUGGCUGCUGUGGGCCAUCACUCUGCCUGUCAUGCAGUUUCCAGCGACGCCAGCAACGGCGAAGGAGGCCACAUUUGCAGUUCUGCUGGUGGCUCUCAUUGCUUUUGAGACGAUCUGCGACGAGCAGCAGUGGCGCUUUCAGUGCGCAAAGGUCCGAACGCCGCAUCAGGCCCCUUACUGUUACGGGUUUUGUGUCACAGGUGUCUUCGGCUACAGCAGACACCUAAACGUCUUCUGUGAGGCGUCUCUGUGGGUGAUGUUGGCGGUGGCGGCGCGCAGCUGUGGAGCAACGUCGAUGGCGUGGUGGCAGUGGUCUGGGUGCACCCUGCUGGGGCUGCUCAUCCUCUUUUCGACAGCAAUGAUCACGGAGCAACUUACUGCUAAAAAGUACCCUGGCUACGCCGUGUACCAGUCCAUCACGCCCAUGCUCUUCCCUUCCCUCUAUUCGACGUCGGGGAAGGUGCUGCUUGCGCUCAAGAAGAUGGGGUAGCACCGGCGUCAUUUUCCGUUUCCUCGAGGUUAUAUCUUUUCUCCCUUUCACUGCCGCUGACGCUGGGGCCUUUGCUGCUACACUGGUAACGGUCAAGCGGCCCCUGAUGACGCCCACCACCUCGCCGGUGGUAUCUCACGGCCCAGCACCCACUGUGUGGGAAAGCCAAAGACCCUGCAGCCUGCCCUCGGGUACCGCUGGCGGGCUCCUCGGUAUCGGCGGACAGGUAUGGGCUAUCGCUGUGCCGAGGAGGCUUGCCGUCGUGAUGAUCACCUUUGCAGCAGCGCACUACGAAUCGUGCCGACGAUCCGACACAUGUCGGAGGACGAGAUCCAUACCUAUCACCCGCCCCCACACACACAGGCGCACCGAAAAAAAAAAGAACGUGCAUGCUCGGGAAACAUGCGGCAUCUCCUGCAUGCGACCGUGUGGGCCGAUGCGGCGCAGAUGCGGGAAGCGCGAUGAGAGCACCCUCGAGUUGCACCACCGAGUCCUCCAGACUCCCAUGUAAAGUGGCACCACACUGUAUGACGGCAUGCCGCGGCUUGAAGCGGCCGAGGGCGAAACACGGCGCACAGGCAGGGCAGAGGGUCGCAGAGGGCCCUGACCUGCGGCUGGCCCACUUCCUCUCUGAGCUCCUCCUCCAUUCACUUAUAUCCGCCCCCUAGUGCCCGCACGACAGACGCCACUGCCUCCGCCCUCGAGCAGAGCCCUGGACGCGGCCCGGGUGGAUCAAGGCAUGCAGUCCCGCCAGGUCCGCCUGGCGCCGAUCGCGCAACACGCACCCGGGGAAGGGACGAGGAAGAAGAGGAAGAGCCGGUUAGACGCGCGGCCCGAUCCGACGGCAGGCCGCUCGUCCUGGACGACCAGGCCUUAGCCGUGGCGCAACAGUCGCAGGCGAGCUGUGGCUGUGUGCGUGUAGGCUUGCUGACUUGUUCGUGGAAGUGGAAUGGGCAAGCCAAAGAAAGCCGAGAAAGCGCUGCUCACUUACGUGCAGAGCACACCCGCUUCAAGGUAUGUGGAGAGGGUGUGUCGCACAUGCUUCGCCGUCUUCGUGAGGUAUGAGUGUUAAGUACCUCGCCAUGGCACCCGAAUG